RNAcentral lists this ribosomal RNA (755 nucleotides) under uncultured bacterium. Its description in RNAcentral is "bacterial SSU rRNA". It matches the Rfam family "Bacterial small subunit ribosomal RNA", at positions 56 to 788 of the family's 1533-position model. The record is from RNAcentral.
UGCAAGUCGAACGGUAACAGACCUAUGUGAUCCCUUCGGGGUGAACUUGGUGCUGACGAGUGGCGGACGGGUGAGUAAUGCAUAGGAAUCUGCCCUUUAGCGGGGGAUAACUCGGGGAAACUCGGGCUAAUACCGCAUACGCCCUACGGGGGAAAGCGGGGGCCUUCGGGCCUCGCACUAUUGGAUGAGCCUAUGUCUGAUUAGUUUGUUGGUGGGGUAAUGGCCUACCAAGGCGACGAUCAGUAGCUGGUCUGAGAGGACGAUCAGCCACACUGGGAUUGAGAUACGGCCCAGACUCCUACGGGAGGCAGCAGUGGGGAAUAUUGGACAAUGGGCGAAAGCCUGAUCCAGCAAUGCCGCGUGUGUGAAGAAGGCCCGAGGGUUGUAAAGCACUUUCAACAGUAAAGAAAAGUUCGGUGCUAAUACCACCGAACCCUGACGUUAGCUGUAGAAGAAGCACUGGCUAACUCCGUGCCAGCAGCCGCGGUAAUACGGAGGGUGCGAGCGUUAAUCGGAAUUACUGGGCGUAAAGCGUGCGUAGGUGGCUUGGUAAGUCGGAUGUGAAAGCCCCGAGCUCAACUUGGGAAUUGCAUUCGAUACUGCUAGGCUAGAGUAUGGUAGAGGGAAGUGGAAUUUCCGGUGUAGCGGUGAAAUGCGUAGAGAUCGGAAGGAACACUAGUGGCGAAGGCGGCUUCCUGGACCAAUACUGACACUGAGGUACGAAAGCGUGGGGAGCAAACAGGAUUAGAUACCCU